Molecule: ribosomal RNA, 273 nt
Filed under: uncultured bacterium
Lineage: Bacteria
Description: partial 16S ribosomal RNA
Rfam family: Bacterial small subunit ribosomal RNA
Source: RNAcentral
UACGUAGGGCGCGAGCGUUGUCCGGAAUUAUUGGGCGUAAAGAGCUCGUAGGCGGCUGGUCGCGUCUGUCGUGAAAUCCUCUGGCUUAACUGGGGGCUUGCGGUGGGUACGGGCCGGCUUGAGUGCGGUAGGGGAGGCUGGAACUCCUGGUGUAGCGGUGGAAUGCGCAGAUAUCAGGAAGAACACCGGUGGCGAAGGCGGGUCUCUGGGCCGUUACUGACGCUGAGGAGCGAAAGCGUGGGGAGCGAACAGGAUUAGAUACCCCCGUAGUCC